Molecule: long non-coding RNA, 21162 nt
Filed under: Fragaria vesca (wild strawberry)
Lineage: Eukaryota; Viridiplantae; Streptophyta; Magnoliopsida; Rosales; Rosaceae
Description: long non-coding RNA (FVES_LNC003182)
Source: RNAcentral
GAGAAUUCGAGGUGACUACGAGGAAGCAAGAAGUGGUGGCCGCUGCACUGCCAUUGCAAGAGCACUGGCUACCACUCUCCAACCUCGACUUGCUUCUACCUCCGGUCGAUGUUGGAGUGUUCUUCUGCUACAAGAACCACACCAGCCCCUCUGCGGCCGCGGCCAGGUUCGGGGUUUUGAAGAAGGCCCUGACCCAAGCCCUGGUUGCAUACUAUGCCUUUUCGGGUGAGGUGGUGACCAAUUCUUUUGGGGAGCCUGAGAUUCUGUGCAACAACCGUGGGGUUGGUUUUGUUGAAGCUUUUGCCGACGUUGAGCUUAAAGAGCUCAACCUUUAUAACCCUGAUGAGAGCAUUGAAGGUAAAUUUGUUCCCAACAAGAAGCGUGGAGUUCUGGCUGUCCAGGUUUAUCCCUCGCUCUCUUUUCAACGUGUUUUAACUCUUUCUAUUUAUAGAACAUGCAUGUAAAAUUAGGGAAUACAAAAUUAGGGUUCCAGGUUUAAGGUGUACUUGACUUCAGAGUUCAGUUUGCAAAUGCAUGUAAUCAAAUGAGGACCUCAACUCUUCAAGCGACUAAAUUUGGACAUAUAUAUAUUAUCAACAUCCAGAUACAAACCAUGAGGAGCAUACUUAAAUUGCAGUACAUCGUUAAGCUAUCAAAAGUUACUCAUGAGAUAAAUUGUUUUAACCAAUUUUCUCUUGUUAAAAUGUACAAAUUUUGCAGGCAACUGAACUCAAGUGUGGAGGGAUGGUGGUGGCAUGCACAUUCGACCAUCGCGUAGCAGAUGCUUAUUCAGCGAACAUGUUUCUCGUUUCAUGGGCAAAGAUGGCCAACUCAAAAUCUCCAGUCCCUGAGGACGUCCCAUCUUUCCGUCGUUCAUUGCUAAAUCCUCGCCGGCCCUGUCAGAUCCACCCUUCUCUAAAUGACAUGUACGUCCCUGUUACAUCUCUGCCUCCUCCCAAAAUGGAGACCAAUGAUCAUGAGGAUCAACUCGCCAAUCGCAUAUACUACGUCAAAGCCGAGCAACUUAUCAAGCUCCAAGCACUUGCCAGCUCCAAUGGUUGCAAAAGGUCCAAGCUGGAGUCCUUUUGCGCAUUCUUGUGGAAAAUGGUUGCCGGAAGCGAAACCGGCAAUGAUGUCGAAAAAUUAUGCAAAAUGGGUAUUGUAGUUGACGGAAGGUCUAGAUUAGCCGAUGAAAAUAAGAUGGCUAGUUACUUUGGCAAUGUUUUGUCUAUUCCAUUCGGAGGUAAAGUAAUACAAGAGCUCAAUGAAAAAUCACUGAAUUGGGUAGCUGAUGAAGUUCAUGAGUUUCUGGAAUGUGCGGUAACGAAGGAACAUUUCUUAGGGCUGAUAGACUGGGUGGAGGCUCACCGCCCGGUGCCAGGCUUGGCCAAGAUAUACUGCAGCGGAAGCGAAGAGGGUCCUGCUUUCGUGGUGUCCUCCGGCCAAAGGUUUCCGGUUUCUGAAGUGGAUUUCGGUUGGGGGGCACCGCUUUUUGGGUCGUACCAUUUUCCAUGGGGAGGCAGUUCCGGGUAUGUGAUGCCGAUGCCGAGUCCGGUGGGGAAUGGGGACUGGGUUGUGUACAUGCACAUGUUGAAAGGGCAGUUGGACGUGAUAGAGAAGGAGGGUGGUCAUGUGUUCAAACCCUUGACUUAUGAUUAUCUUGUUUGAUUAAAUUUCAUUAUUGUAAGUAUUUAUAAUUACCAAAUGUUUAUCUCAAUAAUUCUGCAUACACGAUGGUGCAGGUCAAAUUCCUUCUAUGGUAACUUAGGUAUCAUCAAUUGGACAAUUAGGUACCCAAUGUUUAAAAGAGGACAUUUUGAUAUUUUAAGUUAUGCUCAGUUAGACAUUUUAAUACUUUCAUUAAUUUUUCCGUUAAAUAUAAAAGAAAAUUUUGAUUUAUGUCCUAUUUAUAAAUAUAGACAUAAAUAUAUUUGUUUUGCGGGUUAAAUGACCAUUAGUCUUAGGUCUUUAUUAUUUUCUAGGUCUUUUAGGAGCACAUACACGAACAUGAAUUAAUAUUUUUCGUUAGGUUGAUAUAAUAUGACAUAAUUUAAUUUUAUGUUAAGAAAUAUGUAUUUGUGAUUUGAGCACCUCUUACACUACUUUCAGCGAAUUAAUUCGAUAUACCUGAGUGGAGUAGUCUCGUGAGUAUUUAGGUUACACCAACUAAAUUUCUUAAAUACAAAUUCAAUUGUUUUUCGAAGAAAAUAUUAAUACAUCCUCAUAUAGACAAAAUAUAUACUAAUUCAAGUUUUGGAUAUAUAUAUAUAUAUAUAUAUAUAUAUUCGGACCUAAUACACAUAGAAACCAACAAAACAAAUUNNNNNNNNNNNNNNNNNNNNNNNNNNNNNNNNNNNNNNNNNNNNNNNNNNNNNNNNNNNNNNNNNNNNNNNNNNNNNNNNNNNNNNNNNNNNNNNNNNNNNNNNNNNNNNNNNNNNNNNNNNNNNNNNNNNNNNNNNNNNNNNNNNNNNNNNNNNNNNNNNNNNNNNNNNNNNNNNNNNNNNNNNNNNNNNNNNNNNNNNNNNNNNNNNNNNNNNNNNNNNNNNNNNNNNNNNNNNNNNNNNNNNNNNNNNNNNNNNNNNNNNNNNNNNNNNNNNNNNNNNNNNNNNNNNNNNNNNNNNNNNNNNNNNNNNNNNNNNNNNNGGUUCAAAGAAAAAGAUUGUGGCUUUCGUUGCUUGAUCAUUUAUCUUAAUUGGUGUUUGGUAUACAUAUUGGUUACUUUCAUAAUGACUCAUUAGGCUCCGUAAAACUUUAAGUAAACCCUAACACUUCAAACUUUAAUUCCCGUCUAGGGAUGGUAAUAAUCCCCAGCGGGUAGGGUACUCACGGGUAUUCGACCUUAACCGGGGAGAUAUACGGGGAUAAACGGGUGACAGGUAUGGGGAUCCUCAGUAUUCGGAUUUUUGAAUCGGGUAUGGGAUGGGUAUGGUAUUUUGAUAUUCGUCAUCAUCCUACCCAUUAGGUUGGAAAUAUUAUUAAAUACAAUUUGUUAUAUAUAUUUUUUUAAUAUAUAUUAUUUAUUAAUAGAUAUUCAUGUAAACUCUUUUGUAAUAAUUUUUUUACUAUGAUUCUCUUAAUGAAUAUUUAUAGAAACUUUCUUUUUAAUCGAAACUUGUAUUCGUUUUUGUUGGAUUGAAUCAAGAAACUUAUUUAUAUAUGUAUUUAAUUUUAUUUUCAUAUUUCUAUAUUUCAUAAUUAUUUUUAAAAAAUUAAUUAUUUAUAUAAUUGUUAACGGGAAUCGGGGCGGGUAUGGGAACGUAAUCCCCAAAGGGGAUGGGGACGGAGAAUCCCUAUUAUCUAAUUACAGGGAAUGGGGCGGGUACGGAGAUGAGGAAUGAAAAAGGGUACGGGUAUGGUAUUUUGAUCCCCUGACCCUACCCUACCCAUUGCCAUCCCUAGCUCCGUCUGAUGGCUGCGUCUUCUGACGUCAUCGUCGGACAAGAUUAAAUGGGACCAGGCGAUGGUCAAGCCUUGGUUAGGGCGAUGGUGGUGGGUUGAGAGAGGGAGUUGUCAUGGGUGCGGACUGAGGACUGUUAAGAUUUGGGUUACAGAGGUUUUGCACUCCGACGGGAAGCUCAGGUCGUCGACAUUGAAAUGGCAGUCCAGGUAAGGUCGUGGUGUGGUGCGUUGGAUCAACGGGGAGCCUGAUGGGGAAAACGGGGUGGCGGCGGCGAUGACCUUCCUAGAUUGGUGCCUGGUUUGGGUUAGGGUUGAGAGCCCUUGCGCUCUUUUGUUUUGAUAUUCCUAGAAGAUGGGUUGUGUGCUACCCGCUAUGGUGGCACGAACUGUCUUCCCGGUGAGGCAGCAGUGGACGCCGGCUGUGCAGCUUCGCAUCCAAGUUACAACAUUCUCGUUGGGCCAGGCCACUCGCUUACCUGUUGAGGCCCGGUGGAUUUGGGUUAGGUCUAGGCCCUCUUUGGGCCUAUAUUUGGAUCACUUUAGGUUUUCCUUUUUUGGAUUUUUCAGUUUUUUUUUUUUUGGUGUUGUUUGUAUGUCGUCCCUCUCCUUUGGACGAGGGUGUUACGGUGUUGGUUUUGGUUGGUGGUUUUGGUAAGGUCUUGGUUGGUGUCAUGUUCAGGGGCUAUCGGGGUUAAUGUCGGUGUUUUUUUGGUGUCAAUGUAAUGGGGAAGUUGCCCCUGUAUAUAUGCUGGCGAUAUUGGUGUAUAGUGUUUGGUGGAAUUGUUUAUUUUUGAGGUUAGUUGUAAGGAGGUAUCGAGGCUUUUGGAUGGGGUUAGAAGUAGGUUACAUUUGAACCCUUUUCGGUUCAGGUUCAUUGUAAUCGCUGGUAUAUGGGUACGGAGGAGUAUGAGGGCUUGUUGUCCAUCAUCGAGAUCUCUCAUGGUUGUAAUGAUUGGUUAUUAUUGUACAAAAUUUUACCUUUUAAAAAAAGAAAAAAGAAUGACUUAUUUGUAUAAUUAAGUUGGGUUCGAAGUGAUCGUGCUAAUAGUUUUCAUUUUGCAAUUAGAUUUUUAUACUAUGAAGUGUAUAUAUGUCAGUUGGGUAUCGAAUUAAAUUAAGUGAAUUAACAUUACGAAAUCUGUCAAAAACGAACCGUUCAUGUAAAUCAUGAUUACGGAAGCUCAAAUGAUCUUCAAAUUGGAUGAAACUUUGCAAGAAUGAUCUAUAUACUAUAUUCUAGACAUUGAACGAUGGAGAUGUGAAAAUGUGGCCUAAAAGUGAGCCAAAUAAGGAGUCGUAUACUUUAAUUUCAAAAUGGUGUCCCGCUCUUGAUUAUAUAUACACACACACACAUACACACACAAUUAUUAUCAGGUCCAGAUAUCCUUAUUUAUUCAAAAGUUACAGAUUUUCUUAAUUAUUAUCAUGUAUGAAUCGUGUAUACACAUAUGAGUUUUGGUGCUUCCUAUGCUCUAAAUUGGCUCCAACUUUCUCUUUCUUACGAUAUGGAGGGAUUGUUCUAAUGCAAGUUUUAUGGAGAUCUUAGUUUAAACUUCGUACAAAACUCUCCUACCUCAUCUUGAAAUCUACAACCUCUCUCUGUGUCAGUUUCUUCUUUAUCUUCUUCUUUCUCCCUCCUUCACUUUCUCUUUCUCUUUCUCUUUCUCUUCGAUCCCUUUCCCUUUCCCUUUUCUUUUUCUUAAUUAUCUUCCUCCCUUUCCCCUGUUCGCCUUUCUCUGUCUCCUUUUCCCCCACCGUCAACAACGACCCAUAUCCUUCUUACCUCACCACAAAAGAUAAGACCAGCCUACCAAAUAAUAUCAUUGUAGGUGACUGACAACCAAUAACUACCAAUUUAGCUAUUUCUCAUGUCCAAAGCAAAGAUUCCGGGCUGCUAAGCAGUUAGUAACUUAAUUAGUACAUUGUUUAACGUAAGCAGUUGGCUAAGCUCAUUUCUCGUUUCGGCAUUGAUACAGCUAGGGUUUUAAUAAGUCAUAAAAUUUGUGACAUUAAUCCUAUGUGUCAUGCCAUGUAAGUAUAUAAAAAUAUUUAUUUCUGAUUCCACAUUAUAUAUCUUACUAAAUCAUUAUAUUGCAUUACUAAUUUUACAAUUUCUAUUUCUUUUUAGAUUUUAAGAGGUAAAUCAAUGAUAUUAAUGAACUUUGUUAGGUAAUAUAAACAAAUAUUAUGUAUUAAUAGCAACCACUAAUUAUGUGUAGAUCUAACUCUUUCCAAAUAUUAAUUAGUUUUAUAAAAUAUCCUUGAAACCCAAACCCUAAAAAACCACUAAUUGUAAAAGUAAAAUGAUAAUCGAAAUAAUCUACUCAUUUCAUUAGAAAUCUUCUUUAUAUAGAGGUGAAUUACAACGGUAAUUAUACCCAUAUAAUGACUAAUAUAAUUAAUUGAGCUGUUACAUCCGUUGAUCAAUAACUUCUUUAUUUACUCUCGUCAGUUACUUUGACGAAGACACACUUAAGGUAUUUUUCUUUCAACACUUCUCUUUGUGCCAAGUCAAAGUUAAAAUGGUGCAUGAGGUGUUGCCUCGUUAAAAACUUUGUCAAGUAACAAAAUCCAGUGGGUAAAAUAAAUCUUGGUCGAAGGAAAAAAGAGCAUAACACACUUAUAAUAGUGUAAGUGCGUUAGACUCCCCCUGAAGUCUACAGUCCCCCUGAUCUUUACAUCAAUCAGGGGAGCUAGGAACAUCUUCGCAUUCUUAAUUAUGUUUCUUAAUAUUGUGCAGCGAAAAUCUUUGAAAUCUUGAUGUUUGUGAACAACUUUCUCGAGAGUGAUUUGGACCAAAAGACAUGAUUUGGCUCAAAUGUAGAAGUGCAUGUAUGCCGAAAACUGGGCACUUUCUUCUAAUCUAGAAAGACAAUGAUAUAUAAGCUGAGAUCAGUUUUUGAUGAGCUCCAAGGUAUACUUCAGUUCCAUAUUCCAUUGGGUAUCAAUUUGGUUGGUAGAAUUGGUUAUCAACAGAGAGGGGCCAAGUAUCCCCAUCCAACUUCUCCCAUAGAACUGUUAGCUGAAAUGUCCAAUGGUAGUUUGUUUCUGUAAAGUAGGGAUAAGGUCGUGUCAUACUGAAGUAGCCUUCUGAUAGGGGUAAAUGAAAGCUAACAUAUUAUGAGGAGAAUAUACGGGACGAGACGGGUCUUACGAGCCUCAAAUUUUCAGUCCAUGGCCAACGGCCCGUUUCGUGUUUUAUCUAAUGGGACGGGACGAGCCUAGUGUUUUUACAUUUAGAUCUCGUCUCAUCCUGUCAAAUUUCGGAACAGGAUUAGGAUUUCGGUUUUUUAUGCCCAGCCCUAAGUUUAAGAUUAGUAUCGAUAUACGACUACUAAUUCUGAGCAUUUAAGCCAAGGCCAAGAUGCAUUCUGAUCACUUAAUUCAAAGUUUUGUUGUGAAAAUACUUUAUCAUCAACACUGCUUUGUCCUUUGGAUUGAUACCACAUGCUUUGUCCUUUGGAUUGAUACCACACAUUCUGUAAAAUUCCUGGAUUGAUACCACACAAUCCGCAAUAAUACUGGGAGUGAUACGACACAAUCCGAACUCUAGGAUUAAUACUACACAAUCCAUAUUAACACCAGGGUUGAUACGACAUAACCCAGGCCUAGAACGCUCUUAGUUUUAGGAUUUUCCUGCACAAACAAAAUCUCAAGCAAGAGAAUGGGGAUGAAGAAGGGNNNNNNNNNNNNNNNNNNNNNNNNNNNNNNNNNNNNNNNNNNNNNNNNNNNNNNNNNNNNNNNNNNNNNNNNNNNNNNNNNNNNNNNNNNNNNNNNNNNNNNNNNNNNNNNNNNNNNNNNNNNNNNNNNNNNNNNNNNNNNNNNNNNNNNNNNNNNNNNNNNNNNNNNNNNNNNNNNNNNNNNNNNNNNNNNNNNNNNNNNNNNNNNNNNNNNNNNNNNNNNNNNNNNNNNNNNNNNNNNNNNNNNNNNNNNNNNNNNNNNNNNNNNNNNNNNNNNNNNNNNNNNNNNNNNNNNNNNNNNNNNNNNNNNNNNNNNNNNNNNNNNNNNNNNNNNNNNNNNNNNNNNNNNNNNNNNNNNNNNNNNNNNNNNNNNNNNNNNNNNNNNNNNNNNNNNNNNNNNNNNNNNNNNNNNNNNNNNNNNNNNNNNNNNNNNNNNNNNNNNNNNNNNNNNNNNNNNNNNNNNNNNNNNNNAAAUGUACCUUUCAAAUCUUCAAAUAAAUGUAUUUCGGAAGCCUAAUUCGGUCGGAAAAACCUUCACCGGAGGUGGUUAGGGACGGCGGCUGGAGACGUCGGGGUUGGCCGGAAAAUUUGAUGGGCUGGGGGGCCGAUAGGCUUGCCAAUUAGAUAGAAAAACAGGGCUUGGAGAUUUUUUUUCUUGGUUAUUAGCUCAUAGUUAAAGCAAAGUGUAUGAUAACAUGUUUUAAGAUGAAUUAUUAAGAGAAUGAUAGAUAGUAAAUAUAAUAGAGUAUCAUCCUCUUAUUCGUAUGAUGAUCAGAGCGCUUUAUAUACGGAAUUACAUAACACCUAUAGGUGUUGUAUAAGGAAACAUAUCUUAAUAUCCUAUCAUUAUACGGAAUUGGGAUUCCUCCUUUGACUAGCAUUAGACCAAGACACACACAACUUGAAUUUUCCUAAUAUAUAUAUAUAUAUAUAUAUAUAGUUCCUAUCUAGAGCGAAGGUUCGCUCUGAAAUUAAUGUGUGAAGUUCCUUAUUUGACUAACUUUUUGGUCAUAUUUCCACAUCUCAACCGUCCAGUUUGUAGAAUCAAAUGCAUAGAUCACUUCUACUGCUGCAAAGUUUCAUCGAAUUUGAUGAUCGUUUGGGUGUUCAUAAUCGUGAUUUACAUAAACAGUUAUGGUCAGACAAGUUUAUGAUCCGUUCAUUGAUUUAAUCUAAUUCGGUACCAAAACGAUUAUCAAUUUGAAUGAAAUUUUGUAGGAAUGAUCUAUACAUUAGUAUCAAUAAACUGAAUGAUGGAGAUGUGGAAUUAUGACCGAAAAGUUAGUCAAAUAAGGAACUUCACACAUUAAUUUCAGAGUGAAGCUUCGCUCUGGAUAAGAACUGUAUAUAUAUAUGGGUCCGGUUCCUGGGACAUUACAUUUGACACUAAUUUUGACACCGCUUUUUGGCCAUUAGAUUUUUUAAAAAUCGAUGGACUAGAUCAAUUGUAGAUAUGAUGUCAACCUAUAAAAACUAACGUGGCAAUUGACGUGACGUGACAUUACUUAUUUAUAACAAAUCAAAUCAAAUUAAAAACAAAAAAAAUAAAAUCAAAACCUAAAAUUUGAAAUCUGAAAAUCAAAAUCGAUAAGUGCGAUAAAAAGAAGAAAGAAAAAAAUUUGUUUCCGUAGUCAUUGGUCUAUGACAACUAAAACCGAUUAGUUCAUAGAUAUUUUGUAUAUAUUGUCCAAUUGAUUUAUCAUACAAAAGUCAAUCAUUUUAAUUCUGAGAACUAGUACGUCUCCCUUAAAAUGUUUAGGUAAGUACUUGAAUGCUACAGACUUUUUAUUUCUUAUAGUUUAAGUACUUCAUUAGUUUGUUGCAGCAAGAUUCAAGAGUACUAAUAAUCUAUAAAUAUUGAACUUGGUAUAAGAGAAACCCGAAAGCAAAGUACUCUUCCCCUAAAGGAAUCACCCUUGUAUAUCAGGCUAUGUCUUGCUGGAGUUUCAUCAAUGUCCUCCCAAUACAGAUUUGUUCGUUCUUUGUUCAUUUGUAUUUCUCUUCUUUCUCUUGAUCUGUGUGUUCUUCUGGGGUCUUCUGCGUUAUGUCGUUCUUUUUUUUUUUUCUUUCUUUCUUCUUUUUAUAGCAAUGAUCGAUUUUGAUUUUCAUAUUUCAGAUUUUAAGUUCUGAUUUUGUUUUUUUUGUUUUUAAUUUGAUUUUAUUUGUUAUGAAAUAAGUAAUGCCACGUCAAUUGCCACAUCAUUUUUUAUAGGUUGGCAUCAUAUAUAUCUACAACUGAUCUAGUCCAUCGAUUUUUUUAAAAUCUAAUGGCCAUGAAACAAUGUCAAAAUUAGUGUCAAAUGUAAUGUCCCAGGAACUGGACCCUAUAUAUAUUAUGAUUAGAUGAUUUAAAUAUAAACAAUUUAAUUAAGAACUCAUUCAUAUUGUCCGUAAAUCAUUGAAGUUAUACGUUCAUAUCUUUUUAAAAUUAUUAUUAGAUUACAAUAAUUUAAGAAAAUAAAAAAAUAAUAAUAAAGAAAAAAAAUACUGAACUGGUUCAUAUUGACAAGUUACUAGAGAAGACUAAAUUUCAACGUCAUAUGUGCUGAACAAAUUAAUUCCUUAAUUUAAUGAGUGAUUACAGCUGAGUUCAAAACAGGUAAAACUUCAUUUUCAAAUUACAUUGUUUGGUUUGCUGUUAUUCUAAGUAUAUGAAUUCCUAUUAAUUGCUAGCUUGCUGGUGUUCUUUCUAAUAAUUGUUGGGUGGUGUUUUGAUUCACUUUGAUGCAAUCUAUUAUAUUUAGUUGCCACUGAACAAGAAUUUUAGAAAUUUUAUGGUUUUGCUCAACUUUUGGUAAUUUUCUUGGAUUUGUCUAGUUCUCUUCAUGUUAUGAAAAUUUUGGAGUUUUGAUCCAUUUUUCUGGAAAUUUUUUGAGAAUUGUUGUUUGAUGAAAUACUAGUUUAAGGUUUAGUUUAGAUAUUCUGUUAAAUUUUUAAGGCAUGUGUUUAAAUGACGAAUUUACUCUCUCUUAGGGUGUAGGAUUUGAAAUGUGGGUCAUUUUUGUCUGCUCCACAUUAGAGCAUGACGUCAUGUUUAGCUCGAGAUUCAAAUUUUGAUCGAGAUUGAUGUCUUUUUAAAAGUUUAGGUAUGAAACUGAUUUUUUUUUAAAAAAAAGAUGAGAUAUCAAACUGAUUUUAGAUCUAAAGUUUACAUUAAGAGUGUAAACUGAAGUUAUCCCUUUAAGAAAAUAAAUAUAAUAAUAAAGAAAAAAAAAACUGAACUGGUUCAUGCAUAUUGACAAGUUACUAGAGAGAAGAAUAAAUCUCAACGUCAUAUGUGCUGAUGAACAAAUUAAUUUAAUGAGUGAUUAUAGCUGAGUUUCAGCAUUAUGUUUGUAGAAAUAUUAUUUCACUCUAUGACUGCGCUGCAUAUAAAUUGACUGCCUCAUCUUGCGUCCUCCUCACAAGUAACCAAAUCAAAGAAGCACGUACAUGACCAACUUACUGCACCGGCCAGGUUAUAGAUUCAGAUCGCUAGAUUACGAACCCUGUACAACGGUUCCGAGUCAGAAGUAGAAUUUGUCUCCACUGUAACAACAGAGAAAAAGUAGAAACCAGCCCCCCGGGAAGCAACAUUGUAACAACCCUUAUUUGUUUUCAUUGUUCAUUGUUCCUUACUUCAUUGUUCAUUGUAGGUCAUGACUCGCAACCAAUAACUGCCAAGUUUAGUUAUUUCUCAUGUUCAAAGAUUCUGGGUUGUCGACCCAUAAGAAGUUAGUUCAUUGUUCAACGGAAGUACGUAGCUGGCUAAGCUCAGUUCUCGUUUUUCCCUUCCACAAGCCUACCUAUAUUUUUUUUUUUGAGGAAAAAACCUAUAUGUUUAUCGAAUUUAUGUAUUUUUGAUCGUCAACAUAAUUUAUCAAAUGAUAUUUAAGUUUAUAAAGGUUUUGAUUAGUUGAUUCAAACUUAAGCCAUUUAAGAACAUGUUCCAAUCAGAUUGUGCUGAACAAAGUGAUGUAAUGAAUGAUUAUAUAUAGCUGAGUUUCGGCAUUAUGUUCUUAGAAAUGUUAUUUCACUCUCUAAAUUAACUUCCUCGUCUAUCGAGUGUCCUCCUCACAAACCAAAGUAUACCAACAAACCAAACGAAACCGAACACAAUUAGCAAAUAACAAAGAAACACAUGACUAACUAAUUACUAGUUACUACACCAGAUUAUAGACUCCGAUCACUAUAUUACCAACCCUGUAAAUGCAUAACGGUUCUCAUAAGAAGAAGAAGUUUCCUCCACUGUAACAACUAGCUAGCUCCAGUGGUUUAGGUCUCCAGGAACCCUUUUUUUUUUUUUGGUAAGCGUAGAGGGACUAACUCACACUACAAUACAUAUCUUUUUUUGCGACGAACAUUUUCCGACCAAACAAAUUAUUGGUUGGAAAUAACACAAUUUCCGACGAGUCGUCGGAAAUGGUCGGAAAUACAAUUUUUUGAUGAAAAUUAUUUCCGACGAAAAUCAAUAUGUCGGUAAUGGUCGUCGGAAAUAAUUAUAAUUUGGCGACAAAAGUUCCCGCUAAUUAUUUUACCGACGAGGUCCAAUGUGGUCGGAAAAUAAAUGAUCAUUUUCCAACGAGAUUUUCUUUUGUUAUAAAGUCGUCUUAAAAUAAAAGGUUUAAUUCCGACCACACAUAAUAAGUUGUUGGAAAUAUAAAAAAAAGUAUAACCAAAUUUAAGGACAAAAAAACUAAAUUUCACUUCAAAAACAGUGUUUGAUCAUUUGAAGCAACAAAGUAUAUAUAGGCGUUGCUAAAAAGAAUAGAAGAGUACACUGUACACAUCUAUUAUAUAAUAAUACUUUUUUUUAAAAACGAAAUAGACUAUUUGCCUUGAUCAGGGCCCAAACGUUAUCGAAAAUAUGUGAUUUUUUCUACCAUAACCGUAUUUCACUAUACCUCUCAUAUCCUACAGCCAAUUUUUCAAAAUUCUAUUUGCAAAAUAUAGUUGUUUCACAAAGAUGUACACUUAUAUUAAACCUACUAAACAAUUUAUACCACAGUAGGCACGUUAGGGUUCCUAUGAUUAAAAUUCACAAAAAUAAAUUUUGACCGUCUGAUGUGAUCACUGUAAUUAAAUGUCUAUUGAAAAAAAUUCACCUAUUUUUGAUAACGUUUAGGUCUUGAUCCGCACGGUCAACCCUAAAUUAAUGUCCAUUAUCACACAAAAACGUUCUCACCUACCACCUUUGGACAUAUUUUGGUUGAUUAUUCUACACACACACUCUCACGUAGAUGAGAUGUAACAACCCAUGUAAAAAUUUGGGGAAGUUUACCUUCCAACGAUAAGGCUCCCCAUAUGAAUAAAUAAACGUAAAUAGGGUUGACCACCUUGAUCGGGGCUUAAACGAUAUCAAAAAUUUGUGAUUUUUCUGCCAUAGCCGUAUUUCACUAUACCUCUCACAUCCUAUGGCUAAUUUUUCAAAAUUCUAUUUGAAGAAUAUAGUUGCUUCACAAAGAUGUACACUUGCAUUAAACCUAAUAAACAAGUCAUACCACACUAGUAAACACGUUGAAGUUCCUAUGACUAAAAUUCAUAAAAUUAAAUUUGACCGUCUAAUGUGACAAGUACGUGUAAUUAAAUAUGGCUAUUGAAAAAAAUUCAUCUAUUUUUGAUAACGUUUAGGUCUUGAUCUGCACGGUCAACCCUAAAUUAACGUCCUUUAUCAUACGAAAACGUUCUCAUCUACCCCCUUUUGACAUAUUUUGGUUGAUUUUUUUGCACACACACUCUAACGUAGUUGAGUUGUAGCAGCCAAUGUAAAAAUUUGAGGAAGUUUACAUCCCGAUGAUAGAGCUCCCCAUAGGAGAGAAUAAACGUAAAUAGAGUUGACCGGCUUGAUCGGGGCCUAAACGUUAUCGAAAAUAUAUGAUUUUUCUACCAUAUGCGUAUUACACUGUACCUCUCACAUCAUGUGGCCGAUUUUUCAAAACUCUAUUUGCAAGAUAUAGUUGUUUCACAAAGAUAUAUAUUUGUAUAAAAUCUACUAAACCAGUUAUACCACAAUAGUAGUCACGUUGAAGUUCUAUCUAAUGACUAAAAUUCAGAAAAUAAAAUUACUCUGAAAAAGAUUUCGAUCUCAUCAAUAAAAAUUAAAAAGAUUAUUGAGCUCUUAUCUAUAAAGAUUAUUUUUUUUUAAAGAAAAAAUAAGAAUAAUAUAGGGAAUAAAUAGGUACUAAGAAAAAAACACUUGUUCUCAAUUUUGGCUGAAAAUUCAAGUUUGCCGCUAAACUACUUCUCAAUUUUAGCAUGAUUUUUUUAUUUGAUGAUGUGAAUAGGUGAUUUGGCAUGUCACCUAAGAUUAAUGCCAUAAAUCUUAGACCUUAAUAAGGCCUAGAAACAUUUUCCUUAAUAUAUAAUUAUAGUGAGCUUUAGUUAGGAAUUCCAAUUCCACUCUCGAACUACUGCCUAUAAAUUCACUGCUCAUCUAGUGUCUUCCUCAUAAACCAAACCAAACCAACCAAACUUAACUAGCAGAUAACAAGCCUUCAAAAAAAAAAAACUAGCAGAUAACAAAGAAACAUGGCUGGAGGCAGAGAAUUCAAGGUGAGUACGAGGAAGCAAGAUGCGGUGGCCGCUGCACUGCCAUUGCAAGAGCACCGGCUACCACUCUCCAACCUCGACUUGCUUCUGCCACCAGUCGAUGUGGGAGUGUUCUUCUGCUACAAGAACCACAGCAGCCCCUCUGUGGCCGCCUCCAGGGUCGGGGUUCUGAAGAAGGGCUUGGCCCAAGCCCUGGUGACAUACUAUGCCUUUUCGGGUGAGGUGGUGGCCAACUCUGUUGGGGAGCCUGAGAUUCUGUGCAACAACCGUGGGGUUGAUUUCACUGAAGCUUUUGCUGACGUUGAACUUAAAGAGCUCAACCUUCAUAACCCUGAUGAGAGCAUUGAAGGAAAAUUGGUUCCCAACAAGAAGCAUGGGAUUCUGGCUGUCCAGGUUGAUAUCCGACUCCUGUUCCCUCUCACUUCAACGUUUUAAGUUUUGUUUUUUGUUUAUGAAAUUUGUAGUUUUGAACCAGAAGUUGACCCAUUUCCUCUAGCAGAAGUAAUCAAAUUUCUCUAGUUGAAUGUACAAAUUUGCAGGCAACUGAACUCAAGUGUGGAGGGAUGGUGGUGGCAUGCACAUUUGACCAUCGCAUAGCAGAUGCCUACUCAGCCAACAUGUUUCUGGUUUCAUGGGCAAAGAUGGCCAACUCAGAAUCUCCAGUCAUUAUCGUACCUUCUUUUCGUCGUUCUUUGUUAAACCCUCGCCGUCCCGGUCAGAUCCAUCCUUCCCUAAAUGACCUGUACGUCCCUGUCACAUCUCUGCCCCCUCCUCCCAAAAUGGAGACCAAUGAUCAUGAAGACCGACUUCUCAGUCGCAUAUACUACGUUAAAGCAGAGCAACUUAUCAAGCUCCAAGCACUUGCGAGCUCCAGUGGUUGCAAAAGGUCCAAGCUGGUGUCCUUUUCUGCAUUCUUGUGGAAAAUGGUUGCCGGAAGCGAAACCGGCAAUGAUGUCGAAAAAUUAUGCAAAAUGGGUAUUGUAGUUGACGGAAGGUCUAGAUUAGCCGAUGAAAAUAAGAUGGCUAGUUACUUUGGCAAUGUUUUGUCUAUUCCAUUCGGAGAUAAAGUAAUACAAGAGCUCAAUGAAAAAUCACUGAAUUGGGUAGCUGAUGAAGUUCAUGAGUUUCUGGAAUGUGCGGUAACGAAGGAACAUUUCUUAGGGCUGAUAGACUGGGUGGAGGCUCACCGCCCGGUGCCAGGCAUGGCCAAGAUAUGCUGCAGCGGAAGCGAAGAGGGUCCUGCUUUCGUGGUGUCCUCCGGCCAAAGGCUUCCGGUUUCUGAAGUGGAUUUCGGUUGGGGGGCACCGCUUUUUGGGUCGUACCAUUUUUCAUGGGGAGGCAGCUCCGGGUAUGUGAUGCCGAUGCCGAGUCCGGUGGGGAAUGGGGACUGGGUUGUGUACAUGCACAUGUUGAAAGGGCAGUUGGACGUGAUAGAGAAGGAGGGUGGUCAUGUGUUCAAGCCCUUGACUUAUGAUUAUCUUGUUUAAUUAAAUUUUAUUAUUGUAAGUAUUUAUAAUUACCAAAUGUUUAUCUCAAUAAUUCUGUAUACACGGAGAUUGAAGUUAAAUUCCUUCUAUAUUGUACCUUAUGUAUGAUCAAUCAGGUACCCAAUGUUUAGAAGAGGGUACCUCAAGUUAUGCUCAGUUUGACAGUUUAAUAUUUCCGUUAAUUUUUUCGUUAAAUAUAAGAGAAAAUUUUGAUUUAUGUCCUAUUUAUAAAUAUAGACAUAAAUAUAUUUGUUUUGUGGGUUAAAUGACCAUUAGUCUUGGGUCUUUAUUAUUUUCUAGGUCUUUUAGGAGCACAUGAACAUGAAUUAAUAUUUUUGGUUAGGUUGAUAUAAUAUGACAUAAUCUAAUUUUAUGUUAAAAAAAUAUGUAUUUGUGAUUUGACCACCUAUUACACUACUUUCAGUGAAUUAAUUCGAUAUAUCUCAGUGGAGUAGUCUUGUGAGUGUUUAGGUUACACCGACUAAAUUUCUUAAAUAUAAAAUUCAAUUAUGUUUGAAGAAAAUAUUAAUACAUCCUUAUAUAGAUAAAUAUUAAUUCAAUUUUUGGAUAUAUAGUGAAAUAUAUACAGUUGUCUUCCAGAGCAGGACACCACUUUGAAAUUAAAGCGUGGUGCUCCUCAUUUUGCUCACUUUCAGGUCGCAUUUCCACAACUGCACAUUUUAGUGUCUAAAUGUGUAGAUCAUUUCUGUAAAGUUUCAUCAAAUUUGGAGAUCAUUUGAGCUUCCGUAAUUGUGAUUUACACGAAUAGUUUUGUUCUGUUUGGACAGUUUUUGUUAUGUUGAUUUAUUGAAUCUAAUUCGGUACCCAAAUGAUCUACAAAUUAGAUGAAACUGUGUAGGAAUGAUAUACACACUAUGUUAUAGACAUAAUACGGUUAAUAUGUGAAAAUGCGACUUGAAAAUGAACGAAAUAAGAAGGUUCACACUUUAAUUUCAAAGAGAGACACCGCUCUAAAAGGAAAUUGUGUAUACACAUAUGUCAUAUGAGUGUUUAGGUGCUUGCUAUGCUCUAAAUUGGCUCUAACUUUCUCUUUCUUAUGAUAUAUAUGAUGCAAGUUUUACGGAGAUAUUAGUUUAAACUUCGGACAAAACUCUCCUACCUCAUCUUGAAAUCUACAACCCAUAUCUCUCUCUCUCUCNNNNNNNNNNNNNNNNNNNNUACUACUACUACUACUACUCUACUACUACUACUACUCUCUCUACUCUCUCUCUCUCUCUCUCUCUCUCUCUCUCUCUCUCUCUCUCUCUCUCUCUCUCUCUCUCUCUCUCUCCUCAGUUUCUUUUUAUCUUCUUCUUUCUCCGUCCUUGACCUUCUCUUUCUCUUUCUCUUUCUCAUCCCUUUCCCUUUUCUUAAUUUUCUUUCUCCCUUCCCCUGUUUGCCUUUUCUCUGUCUCCUUUUUCCCCCACGUACCGUCAACAAUGACCCAAAUCCUUCUUAUCUCACCACAAAAGAUAAGACCAGCCUACCAAAUAAUAUCAUUGUAGGUGACUGACAACCAAUAACUAUCAAUUUAGCUAUUUCUCAUGUCCAAAGCAAAGAUUCCGGGCUGCUAGCAGUUAGUAACUUAAUUAGUACGUACAUUGUUUAACGUAAGCAGUUGGCUAAGCUCAUUUCUCGUUUAGGCAUUACAGCUAGGGUCUUAAUAAGGCUUAAAAUUUGUGACAUUAAUCCUAUGUGUCAUGUUAUAUAAGUAUGUAAAAAUAUUUACUUCUGAUUCCAGAUAAUAUAUCUUACCAAAUCAUUAGAUUACAUUACAAAUUUGACCAUUUCUAUUUCCCUUUAGAUUUUAAGAGGUGAAUCAAUGAUAUUAAUGAACUUUAUUAGCCUCUGCAGCGAUGUGCCUCUUAUUAAAGACUUUUAACCUUGUAGGCAUUUGCAGCUGCUAUAUGUGAUCUCUGUCACUUUGGCAAUAUCUUUAAACCCAUCAGGCAUUGAAACUGUUAUGUUCUAGAUAUCGAUUAUGUGGGGAUUAGGAUGAGACAGAGUGGGGACAACCACGACAAUCCUUGUCGUUCUCUUAGAAAAUCAUUUUUCUUAUCUCCCCCUAACUACGAGAAGACUAUCUCAUCAAAGUGACAUUCCGCAAGUCUAGCGAUAAAGAGAUGACUUGUCAAGAGUUUCAAAUGGCGGAUAAUUAUUGGAGUUUCAUAUCCAACACAUAAAUAUUCGUUUCUGAGGACCCAAUUUUGAUGCGUUGUGGGGGUGCAAUAAGCACAUAUGUUGCACAACCAAGUAUGCGUAAAUCUUAGGCUCAUGUCUAGUUACCAACUGGUACACAGGGAAUGGUUGGCUAGGAGUGGGCUUAAAAAUGAAUAAGUAAGGUUGCAUGCAAUAUUGCAUAACCCCAAGCAGAUAUAGGCAAGUUGGUGCGCAUAACCAGUACCCUAGCCAUCAUUUAUGGUGCUUUCUGCGAGACCAUUUUUGUAUGCAAAUGGGGUACAAGAUGCUCUACAUUGAUCAUGAUAGACAUACAAUAACCAUCAAAUCCUUUUGAUGUGAACUCUCAUCAUUGUCAAGUCCUAUAGACUUGGUGAUUAGGGUGAUAAGCCCUUAAACACAUAAUAUUUGCUAAGAGUUUUGCAAAUGUAGUAUUUCUUGUGAAUAAUAAUUCGACAUAUGACUAGUGUGUCGAUACGUCCUCUAGAUACAUAAUGUACUUUAAUGGUCCGCAUUUCUGGAUGGAUAAGUCCACAGUCAUCACAUUGUAUUCUUUGUAAGAAUGGAAUAUAUUGGUUUAUAUCUUUAGCAUAAGGAGGUCUCGAUCUUAUUUUUUUGCUAAAGUAUAGACUUUGCAAAACGAGUAAUUUUGCCUUUGAAAUAAUCAAUAAGGCAUAAUGGGAGGCAUGUUGUGUAUCACGUGCUUUAGAGUGCAAUGACCGCAUUAUAGCAACAUUAGCUAGAACUGGCCAGUGUCUGGUGGUCAGAGUCGGUGUCGUCACCUUGCAGGGUAACAGAGUUUUGUCCCAUUUUAUUAUUCACUCAAAGGAUAGGAUAUCCGUGUGAGUUCUUUAAAAUACGAAUCAUCAUGUCAUGACCAAGAAGUUUCUUGGUGGUCAUGCUAAAGUCUGUGUAAGUCCCUAUCCCAUGUUUCAAUGUAGGUGACUAGUUAGAUUUUUUAAAAUGCGUGUCCUACCACAUUUUAUUUAAGGUAAUAUCAUUCCAUUCUCACAUUAGAUUUUCAUAUGAUGAUCGUUGGUACGAAUUUCUUGAAACUUUAACAUGGUUUGAUUAGUGUGGUUAAUUCCACUGUCAGCCAAGCACUUGGUUUUCUUCUCGAUACAUUCCUUACAAGUAUAUAAGAGUUUAUUAAAAUAUACCUCGUAUUCUUUGGAGUAUUUCGAGUCUCAUCUAGCGUCCUCCUCACAAAUAAACCAAACAUACUUAGCAAAUAACAAAGAAAUUAUCCAAAAAAAAAAAAAAAAGCAAAUAACAAAGAAACACGCGUACAUGACCAACUUACUGCACCGGCUAGAUUAUAGAUUCAGAUCACUAGAUUACGAACCCUGCACAAUAGUUCCGAGUCAGAAGUAGAAUUUUUCUCUACUGUAACAACGGAGAAAAAGUAGAAACCAGCCCCCCGGCAAGCAACAUUGUAACAACCCUUAUUUGUUUUCAUUGUUCAUUGUAGGUCAUGACUCGCAAUCAAUAACUGCCAAGUUUAGUUAUUUCUCAUGUCCAAAGAUUCUGGGUUGUCGAACCCAUACAUAAUAAGUUAGUUCAUUGUUCAACGGAAGUACGUAGCUGGCUAAGCUCAGUUCUCCUUUUUCCCUUCCACAAGCCUACCUAUAUUUUUUAUUUUUAUUUUGAGGCAAAAACCUAUAAGUUUAUCAAAUUUAUGUAUUUUUGAUCGUCAACAUAAUUCAACAUCAAAUGAUAAUUAAGUAUAUAAAGGUUUUGAUUAGUUGAUUCAAACUUAAGCCAUUUAAGAACAUGUUCCAAUCAGAUUGUGCUGAACAAAUUGAUGUAAUGAAUGAUUAUAUAUAGCUGAGUUUCAGCAUUAUGUUCUUAGAAAUGUUAUUUCACUCUCUAAAUUAACUUCCUCGUCUAGCUAGUCCUCCUCACAAACCAAAGCAUACCAAACCAAACGAAACCAAACACAAUUAGCAAAUAAUAAAGAAACACAUGACUAACUUACUAGUUACUACACCAGAUUAUAGACUCCGAUCACUAUAUUACCAACACUGUAAAUGCAUAACGGUUCUCAUAAGAAGAAGAAGAAGUUUCCUCCACUGUAACCACUAGCUGGCUCCAGUGGUCCAGGUCUCCAGGAACUAACAAAUAUGCAAGUUGAAUUAACUCCUUACUUUGGUUUGCUGUUCAGAUAAUAGCUUAUAAGUUAUAAUUAAAUUUAGCCUUACCUCAAAUCGUCAUUGUCGCGGACUCACAUGAACUAGUUGUUUAAGUUAAUUUAUUACCACACCAACUUUUCCAAAGAUGUGAGCCUAUAUAAGUAAUCCAGAAGAAGUUGGUACAUUGUGAUGAAAAGGUAAAUAGUUUGGUAGCUCGAUAUUUUAUUGCUUAAGUUGCUUUCACCUCUAAAACCUACCCAUGCAGCUCAGCUUACUGCUUAUUGCUAUACUAAUCAAGGCCCAUUUAGGAUAACUUCGAUUUAAAAAAAAAAAAAUUAGGAGUGUUUGGUAAAUCUAAAAUGGAUCAGUUUUUAGAAGCAACAUCGAUGUAAGCAAUCAUCUAGAUUCACCCCUUAAAGGAAAAAGAAAUGGUAAAACUGGUAAUGCAAGCUUAUAAUUUGACAAGAUGAAAAAAAAAAAAAACUUAUGAUUUGACAAGAUAAAUUAUGUGAAAUCAGAAAUAAAUAAUUUUACAUACUUACGUGACAAUACUUACAUGACAUGAUUAAUGUCACAAAUUUUAGGCCUAAAAUCCUAUAUCAGUGCUCUUUCUCGAUUGAAAUUUGCAUCGUAACAGGUGUAAUAGUAUUACAAAGAACUACCAACCUGAUUUGGUGAACACAUUUAAUUAAUUAAUAAUUACAGUGAGUUUUAGUUAGGAAUAUUAUUCCACUCUCGAACUACACACUGCCUAUAAAUUCACUCCUCAUCUAGUGUCUUCCUCAUAAACCAAACCAAACCAACCAAACUUAACUAGCAGAUAACAAAGAAACAUGGCUGGAGGCAGAGAAUUCAAGGUGAGUACGAGGAAGCAAGAAGUGGUGGCCGCUGCACUGCCAUUGCAAGAGCACUGGCUACCACUCUCCAACCUCGACUUGCUUCUGCCACCAGUCGAUGUGGGAGUGUUCUUCUGCUACAAGAACCACAGCAGCCCCUCUGUGGCCGCCUCCAGGGUCGGGGUUCUGAAGAAGGGCUUGGCCCAAGCCCUGGUGACAUACUAUGCCUUUUCGGGUGAGGUGGUGGCCAACUCUGUUGGGGAGCCUGAGAUUCUGUGCAACAACCGUGGGGUUGAUUUCACUGAAGCUUUUGCUGACGUUGAACUUAAAGAGCUCAACCUUCAUAACCCUGAUGAGAGCAUUGAAGGAAAAUUGGUUCCCAACAAGAAGCAUGGGAUUCUGGCCGUCCAGGUUGAUAUCCGACUCCUGUUCCCUCUCACUUCAACGUUUUAAGUUUUGUUUUUUGUUUAUAAAAUUUGUAGAUUUGAACCAGAAGUGACUCAUUUCCUCUAGCAAAAGCAGCCUAGAAACUUAAAACCAUUAAGGACAAAGGAUGAUAAAACACAACUAGCUACAAAGAACAAAGAGUACGUAUUAAACGUAAAUGCUAGCCCAACUGACCAGGCUACAUGAUUACACUACCAAAAAUUAGGAUUGACUUCUGCACUAUAUAUGGUAAAGCUUUUAGGGCAUCCAAAAUUAGGGUUUUUCAGGUUUAAGGUGUGCUCCAGAGUUUUAUUUUCGAACUGUAAUUUGAUGAGGACCUAAAGCCGACUUGAUUUUAGACAUAUAUAACAAACAAUAUCAACACAAAGAAUCCAUGAGAAGCACGCAAAAUUUUAAGUGUCGCUAUCGCUGUCCCAGAGUUACGUACUCAUAGUAUUGUAUUCCUCUCCAAGUUCUUCUUACUGAAGCAAUAUCC